Molecule: transfer RNA, 77 nt
Filed under: Pyrodictium occultum
Lineage: Archaea; Thermoproteati; Thermoproteota; Thermoprotei; Desulfurococcales; Pyrodictiaceae
Also listed under: 19 other names
Description: tRNA-Ala
Rfam family: tRNA
About the family: Transfer RNA (tRNA) molecules are approximately 80 nucleotides in length. Their secondary structure includes four short double-helical elements and three loops (D, anti-codon, and T loops).
Source: RNAcentral
GGGCCGGUAGCUCAGCCUGGAAGAGCGCUCGGCUUGCACCCGAGAGGUCCCGGGUUCAAAUCCCGGCCGGUCCACCA